Molecule: long non-coding RNA, 656 nt
Organism: Ictalurus punctatus (channel catfish)
Lineage: Eukaryota; Metazoa; Chordata; Actinopteri; Siluriformes; Ictaluridae
Source: Ensembl
CAAUAGGCAUCUCUAAAUUGUUUGUGGCAUGUGAGUGUGUGUGAUUGUGCCCUGCGAUGGGUUGUCACCCCAUCCAGGAUGUCCCCCGCCUUGUGCCGCAUGUCUCCUGGGAUAGGCUCAAGGCUCCCUGUGACCCGGAGUAGAACAAUGAUUUCAUGCGGUCUCUCAUUAGCAAGAUGGACUUCAAGUCUUUGGAGAUGAAGCUGUACAAAGCAAAGCAGUUGUUCCUGUUCCUGCUGGAGGGCCAGUCUGAGGGCAGCGAGGCACCACAGGGUCGUAUCAGUGCUGAACAACUGCUUGUGGAGCUGAAGGCAGGGGGGAUCCGUGAGGAGCAGGAGGAAGAGGUCAGGCGUGAACUCCGUAGCCUUCGCUCCCUCGACCUGCUUGACUUCCUCGCACACCUACCCCUCUUCAUCCUCAUCCACAACUCCGUCAUUGCCAACCCGCUGGAUGACUCUAGCAACCUGUGACAGAAACACCAAAGCUGUGUUAUGUUUUAAAGGCAGCAUCCAUAUCGCAUGCAAGCCAUACUGUCAGGAUGCCCUGUCACAGCUUCUAGUGCACCUUACUCACGAUAUUCGUUUAUUCACUACCGCUUAUCAGCUUCGAUCAGCAAUAAAACUGAACAUGAAUACAAUUUUCUGUGUGAAAAAAAA